Long non-coding RNA from Homo sapiens (human), 419 nucleotides. Ensembl annotates it as DEPTOR antisense RNA 1. Its record names the gene DEPTOR-AS1. Lineage: Eukaryota; Metazoa; Chordata; Mammalia; Primates; Hominidae. The record is from Ensembl.
UGUAAAACACCGAGGCUCAGGGGAGUGAAGGAAGACUUGUCAGCAAAAAGGAAAACCUAGUGAAGACUAUCGUUGGUCUUGCUCCUUUUAUCAAGGAGUAGAGGGGCUGGGGUCGCCUCGGGACCCCACAGCGACCCCUCUUGCUCUCUUCGCGGAUGAGGCGCAGGCUGUCAGCCGGGAGGCCUGGCGGCGUCCAGACGACUUGUUUGCCUUAUGUUGUAAUCAAUAAGGAACGCCGGCCUAGGAAUCAGGCUGACCUGGGAUCCAGCUCCGCUCCUGUGAUGUCCUAUUUAAAUGUGUUUAAUCCUCCCUUACAAAAUAAAAAUAAUUGCGGCUACCACUUUUGACAUCUGCUGCAUUAAAGAUACUUCAGAGUCGGAGUUGGUCUGCAGGAAGGCGAAGUAAUGUUUAUGGCAGUA